UAUCAACACAUCUUAAUGCUUAUAUCCCUUGUUAUCCCUUUGCUUCCCUGCCUCACACAAUGUUUUAUCCUACCUGCGACAAAGCCUGAAUCUCUUUGCUGCUGUUUUGAAAAUCUUGUGUUUCUUGUCUAUCCUAAUUGGAACUUCCUGUCUUUUUUUCCUUCUUUAUAAUUGAAGAGCCCUCCAAUUUUUUUUUACAUAAGGGGAAGGAGCUUCUUGGUGGUGGAUAACUUUGUGUUUGAACGUGGUUAUUAUCUUCUUUACAUCUUUUCAAUUCUCAACAAGCCAUCACACAUGACGUUACUUUUUGAAGUCUCUUGUUUUAUUUUGUCUAUUAGUGGGAAUGCAGACUUCCUGUUAAAUUCUUAUAUCCAGAAAGGCCUCCGUGCUGUGAGUUUUAGAGUUCACGCUGUUAGUCGAGUCCACAUAGUCAGUGGCUUAGGAACUACAAGUCUCAGGUUACUCUUCAUGCACUUACUGUUCGCAUGUGGUUUACGGGUGUAGUGCGCAUCGAUGGGAAUUUGUUUCUACUAAAAAAUGAGUUGGAGAAACCUAGUGUAACAAAAACAAAGAAUUCCUUCAGUUUGUUUGUUUGUUUUUUUUUUUUUUAAUUUUUAAAAUUUUUUUAUUGGCAGCAAGAUAUUUAUUUAGAAUAGAAAAAGAAAGAUACAAAAUGUCGACGGAGGACAAGAAGUUCACCAACGAAAGUUUAAAACAAAAACUACAUCUCACACACUGCUCUCCAAUCUCUAGACAUUAAAAGGACCUUUUUUGAUGCUUCUUGACGUGGAGAAAUCUAGUGUAACAAAAACAAAGUAUUCUCUUAGGUUGAAGCAUGCUUUUGUUUCUUCUAUAGAGAGAAAAUACCACUUUGCUUGUUGAGCAAUUGCAUGUGGUUUAACUGUUCUUUUUUAUGAUUAAGAAAAACUAGGGAAUAGUAGUUCCAGUAAACUUUGGAGGUGGUGUUUUAGUAAAUUAAAUUCAUUUAUUGCAAAUCCAAAAAUGGUCAUGGUGAACCAAAGAAAGGUUCAUUUGGGAUGGGGGUUGGCCUUUUGACUUUUUGGCUAUUUUAGCCUAGGGCUAAAUAGUCUUGUUUGGGAUAGAGUUUUGGCUUUUUUACUUUUGUGAGAUAAAAAAUGAAAUGAUUAUGGUUUGCAUGCGAUGUUUUGUCUUAUUGGAUUAAAAAGUUUAUUUUGUCUUUUUGUGGCUAAAAAAGCCAAAAAGUCAAAAAGCUUGGCAUGUCAAACGAAGGCGAAGCAUCAUUUCAAUAUACACAUCUAUAUAAAUGCGCAUAUUCAGGUUGGGAAACUGCUUCUAAUAGGUUUAUGCAGUGUGAUUAUUCAUUCAGUUGGUAGUAGAAGUAUGUUUUUCCUAGGCUAAUAGAUAGUUUUGUAAAGCUAAAUAUUGAAAAACAUCACAUUAUGAAAUUUUUACUUUUUCUUCAAACCUUUUCAGUUACUGUCCAAAUUAAUUGAGGUAUGUAUGUUUUAAGUUGCUCACUCAAGCAUUCCGGUCAACAACUAUUAAUGGAAAGGACUUCAAUAUCAUUGUCUUAAGAGGUUGGAUUUGUAAUGAAUGAUUAGUGAUGAACCUAGAAAUUUUGCUAAGAUAUUUUCUUAGACUUUGAGGCCAAAAUAUAUUGUCAUAAAUACUCCCGAAAUAGUUUUUAGGGCCUAAGUGAAAUUUGAAAAAUUAGGGAGCCAGGUCAAAUUUCUUAGAAUUUAAGGGAGCCAAAUACUAUUUUGUGUCAUAAUAUCCACAAAAACUAUAAACUUAAGUGAAAUUCUUAGAAGUUUGGAGGGCUAUGUAAAAAUUCUUAUAUGCAUCAUGCAUUAAGGUGGCACUUAGACAUUUAGGUUGUUUUUGGAUCUUGGAUUUGUGGAGGGGGGAAAAAAAAAAAGGAAAGGGAAAAGAUAGGAAAAGAGAACGAAGUGAAGAAUCUAUUUCUCUCCUUUUUGGUUGGAUAGGAAAAAUGAGAAAAAAA
Camellia sinensis is the source of this 1984-nucleotide non-coding RNA. NCBI's taxonomy places the organism in Eukaryota, Viridiplantae, Streptophyta, Magnoliopsida, Ericales, Theaceae. The record is from RefSeq and is a predicted model, not a curated record.